Molecule: ribosomal RNA, 450 nt
Filed under: uncultured bacterium
Lineage: Bacteria
Description: bacterial SSU rRNA
Rfam family: Bacterial small subunit ribosomal RNA
Source: RNAcentral
UCGAGAAUUUUUCACAAUGGACGAAAGUCUGAUGGAGCGACGCCGCGUGGAGGAUGAAGGUUCUUGGAUUGUAAACUCCUGUCACUGCAGAACAAGGCUACGCAUGUUAAUAGCAAGCGUAGUUGAUGGUAUGCGGAGAGGAAGGGACGGCUAACUCUGUGCCAGCAGCCGCGGUAAGACAGAGGUCCCGAGCGUUGUUCGGAUUCAUUGGGCGUAAAGGGUGUGUAGGAGGUCGGGUAAGUCAGGUGUGAAAUCUCACAGCUUAACUCUGAAACUGCGCUUGAUACUGCCCAGCUAGAGGAUCGGAGGGGGUAACGGAAUUUAUGGUGUAGCAGUGAAAUGCGUAGAUAUCAUAAGGAACACCGGUGGCGAAGGCGGUUACCUGGAAGAUUCCUGACUCUGAAACACGAAAGCCAGGGGAGCAAACGGGAUUAGAUACCCCCGUAGUCC